RNAcentral lists this transfer RNA (74 nucleotides) under Actinomycetota bacterium. RNAcentral describes it as "Actinobacteria bacterium tRNA-Gly". It matches the Rfam family "tRNA". Rfam says of the family: Transfer RNA (tRNA) molecules are approximately 80 nucleotides in length. Their secondary structure includes four short double-helical elements and three loops (D, anti-codon, and T loops). Further hydrogen bonds mediate the characteristic L-shaped molecular structure. tRNAs have two regions of fundamental functional importance: the anti-codon, which is responsible for specific mRNA codon recognition, and the 3' end, to which the tRNAs corresponding amino acid is attached (by aminoacyl-tRNA synthetases). tRNAs cope with the degeneracy of the genetic code in two manners: having more than one tRNA (with a specific anti-codon) for a particular amino acid; and 'wobble' base-pairing, i.e. permitting non-standard base-pairing at the 3rd anti-codon position. The record is from RNAcentral. Lineage: Bacteria; Bacillati; Actinomycetota. RNAcentral also lists the same sequence under 1 other name.
GCGAGUGUAGCUCAAUGGUAGAGCCCCAGCCUUCCAAGCUGGCCAUGCCGGUUCGAUCCCGGUCACCCGCUCCA